UACGUAGGGUGCGAGCGUUGUCCGGAAUUAUUGGGCGUAAAGCGUCCGCAGGUGGCAAUGUAAGUCUGCUGUCAAAGCGUCUGGCUCAACCAGAUAAAGGCAGUGGAAACUACAUAGCUAGAGUAAGGUAGGGGUAGAGGGAAUUCCUGGUGUAGCGGUGAAAUGCGUAGAGAUCAGGAAGAACACCGGUGGCGAAAGCGCUCUGCUGGACCUUAACUGACACUGAGGGACGAAAGCUAGGGGAGCGAAUGGG
RNAcentral lists this ribosomal RNA (253 nucleotides) under uncultured bacterium. Its description in RNAcentral is "partial 16S ribosomal RNA". It matches the Rfam family "Bacterial small subunit ribosomal RNA", at positions 524 to 776 of the family's 1533-position model. The record is from RNAcentral.